Symphalangus syndactylus (siamang) is the source of this 120-nucleotide small nuclear RNA. RefSeq annotates it as U5 spliceosomal RNA. NCBI's taxonomy places the organism in Eukaryota, Metazoa, Chordata, Mammalia, Primates, Hylobatidae. The record is from RefSeq and is a predicted model, not a curated record.
AUAUUCUAGUUUCUCUUCAGAUCGCGUAAAUCUUUCGCCUUUUACUAAAGAUUUCCGUGGAGAGGAACAACUGUGAGUCUUAAACUAAUUUUUUGUAGGCCUUGCUAUUUUAGCAGGGCU